This 371-nucleotide unclassified non-coding RNA is filed under the name uncultured bacterium. RNAcentral's name for it is "contains 16S-23S intergenic spacer region". The record is from RNAcentral.
UCCUCUUUACAGAGGCAGUUUGUCUCGAGUUCCCGACUUGACUCGCUGGUAACAAGACAUGAGGGUUGCGCUCGUUGCGGGACUUAACCCAACAUUUCACAACACGAGCUGACGACAGCCAUGCACCACCUGUGUAGCACCCUCGAAGGAGACUCCUUUUCGGGAGCUUGCAGCUACAUGUCAAGCCCUGGUAAGGUUCUUCGCGUUGCAUCGAAUUAAGCCACAUGCUCCACCGCUUGUGCGGGCCCCCGCCAAUUCCUUUGAGUUUCAACCUUGCGGCCGUAGUCCCCAGGCGGUUCACUUAAUGCGUUAGCUGCGGCACCGAGGGAAACCCCCGACACCUAGUGAACAUCGUUUAUGGCCAAGACUAC